Molecule: ribosomal RNA, 291 nt
Filed under: uncultured eukaryote
Lineage: Eukaryota
Description: partial 18S ribosomal RNA
Rfam family: Eukaryotic small subunit ribosomal RNA
Source: RNAcentral
GGUUGAUCCUGCCAGUAGUCAUAUGCUUGUCUCAAAGAUUAAGCCAUGCAUGUCCAAGUAUAAACGUUAUACGGUGAAACUGCAGAUGGCUCAUUACAUCAGUUAUAAUUCAUUUGAUGAUCGAGUAACUACAUGGAUACCCGUAGUAAUUCUAGAGCUAAUACAUGCGAAGAGCCCCGACUCGUGAGGGGAGGGGUGUAUUUAUUAGAUACAAAACCAACAGCCCUCGCAAGGGGGUUGAUUGGCGAGGAAUCGUAGUAACUGUUCGGAGCGCAUGACCUUGCGUCGGCG